UGGCUAACUCCUACGGGAGGCAGCAGUGGGGAAUUUUGGACAAUGGGGGCAACCCUGAUCCAGCAAUGCCGCGUGAGUGAAGAAGGCCUUAGGGUUGUAAAGCUCUUUCAGCUGGGAAGAUAAUGACGGUACCAGCAGAAGAAGCCCCGGCUAACUCCGUGCCAGCAGCCGCGGUAAUACGGAGGGGGCCAGCGUUGUUCGGAAUUACUGGGCGUAAAGCGCACGUAGGCGGACUGGAAAGUUGGAGGUGAAAUCCCAGGGCUCAACCUUGGAACUGCCUUCAAAACUAUCAGUCUGGAGUUCGAGAGAGGUGAGUGGAAUUCCGAGUGUAGAGGUGAAAUUCGUAGAUAUUCGGAGGAACACCAGUGGCGAAGGCGGCUCACUGGCUCGAUACUGACGCUGAGGUGCGAAAGUGUGGGGAGCAAACAGGAUUAGAUACCCCAGUAGUCCAGCUGG
This 456-nucleotide ribosomal RNA is filed under the name uncultured bacterium. Its description in RNAcentral is "bacterial SSU rRNA". It matches the Rfam family "Bacterial small subunit ribosomal RNA", at positions 329 to 803 of the family's 1533-position model. The record is from RNAcentral.